UACGAGUGCCCCGAGCGUUAUCCGGAAUCACUGGGCGUAAAGGGUGUGUAGGCGGCUAUGUUAGUCCACCGUCAAAUUCUUCGGCUUAACCGGGGGUCCGCGGUGGAAACGGCAUGGCUUUGAGGAUGUGAGAGGUGAGCAGAACUCUAGGUGUAGGGGUGAAAUCCGUUGAUAUCUAGGGGAAUACCAAAAGCGAAGGCAGCUCACUGGCGCAUUCCUGACGCUGAAACACGAAAGCGUGGGGAGCGAAUGGG
This 254-nucleotide ribosomal RNA is filed under the name uncultured bacterium. RNAcentral describes it as "partial 16S ribosomal RNA". It matches the Rfam family "Bacterial small subunit ribosomal RNA", at positions 524 to 776 of the family's 1533-position model. The record is from RNAcentral.